GAACGCACCUUGCGCUCCUUGGUUAUUCCUUGGAGCAUGCCUGUUUGAGUAUCAUGAGCAAAUCUCAAAGUCGAUUCCUGUUGUUAAUUCAAUUGGUUUUUUGCUUUGGACUUGGAGGCCUUGCAGAUUUCACGUCUGCUCCUCUUAAAUGCAUUAGCUGGAUCUCAGUAUUAUGCUUUGGUUCCACUCGGCGUGAUAAUUAUCACUCGCUGAGGACACUGUUAAAAAGGUGGCCAGGAAAAUACUGAUUGAACCGCUUCUAAUGGUCUAUUAAUUACCCUUAAGUUUGAUCUCAAAUCAGGUAGGACUACCCGCUGAACUUAAG
Molecule: unclassified non-coding RNA, 325 nt
Filed under: uncultured Ceratobasidiaceae
Lineage: Eukaryota; Fungi; Basidiomycota; Agaricomycetes; Cantharellales; Ceratobasidiaceae
Description: sequence contains 5.8S rRNA gene
Source: RNAcentral